UCACUGUGUGUUAUAUGUGUCGACACGGGACUGCCGGUUUAAGCCGGAGGAAGGUGGGAUGACGUCAAGUCAGCAUGGCCUUUAUAUCCUGGGCUACACACACGCUACAGUGGUCGGUACAAUAGGUUGCCAAGCCGCGAGGCGGAGCCAAUCCAAAAAGCCGGCCUCAGUUCAGAUUGUAGGCUGCAACUCGCCUGCAUGAAGAUGGAGUUGCUAGUAACCGCAGGUCAGCAAUACUGCGGUGAAUACGUUCCCGGGGCCUU
Molecule: ribosomal RNA, 263 nt
Filed under: uncultured Anaerolineaceae bacterium
Lineage: Bacteria; Bacillati; Chloroflexota; Anaerolineae; Anaerolineales; Anaerolineaceae
Description: partial 16S ribosomal RNA
Rfam family: Bacterial small subunit ribosomal RNA
Source: RNAcentral